Molecule: long non-coding RNA, 1742 nt
Filed under: Ficedula albicollis (Collared flycatcher)
Lineage: Eukaryota; Metazoa; Chordata; Aves; Passeriformes; Muscicapidae
Description: lncRNA (ENSFALG00000025085.1)
Source: RNAcentral
ACCCCGGGGAGGGAGGUGCGGAGCCGGGACCCUGCAGAGCCCGGCCCGACCCCGGAGCUGCCCCGCGGGCUGCGAGCGGCGGAGCGCGGCUCGAUGCUUCCCUCUGCCGGGGCUGCGGGACGGGGCCGGGAGCCGUGGGGAUGCGUGGUGGGACCGCGACCCUCAUCCCACAUCUGCAUCCCGCAUCCAUCCCACAUCCACAUCCACAUCCCACAUCCCACAUCCUCAUCCCACAUCCAUCCCACAUCUCACAUCCUCAUCCCACAUCCCACAUCCACAUCCCACAUCCUCAUCUCACAUCCCACAUCUCACACUCCACAUCUCACAUCCCACAUCCCACAUCCAUCCCACAUCUCACAUCUCACACUCCACAUCUCACAUCCCACAUCCAUCCCACAUUUCACAUCCCACAUCCAUCCCACAUCCCACACUCCACAUCUGCAUCCCACAUCCCCCAUCCCACAUCCCCAAAUGUAACAGGGAUGUGGAAUGCGGGAUGGGGGAUGUUGGAUGGGGGAUGUGGGAUGCAGAUAUGGAGUGUGGGAUGUGGGAUGCAGAUGUGGGAUGCAGAUGUGGGAUGGGGGAUGCAGGGUAAGGGAUGCAGAGGUAGAAGCAGGAGGUGGGAUGAGAUGAGACUGAGAUGAGACUGAGAUGAGACUGAGAUGAGAUGAGAUGAGACUGAGAUGAGAUGAGAUGAAGAUGAGAUGAGAUGAGAUGAGAUGAGAUGAGAUGAGAUGAGAUGAGAUGAGAUGAGAUGAGAUGAGAUGAGAUGAGAUGAGAUGAGAUGAGAUGAGAUGAGAUGAGAUGAGAUGAGAUGAGAUGAGAUGAGAUGAGAUGAGAUGAGAUGAGAUGAGAUGAGAUGCGAUGCAGAAUCCAGAGGCAGGAGGCAGAUGCAGGAUGCAAGAUGCAGCUGUGGUAUGUUCAAAAUGCAUAUGCAGAUGUGGAUGCAGAUGUGGAUGCAGGGUGAAGGAGAUGGAUGCAGAUGUGGAUGUAGCUGUGGAUGCGGCUGUGGAUGCAGAUGCGGAUGCAGCUGUGGAUGCAGCUGUGGAUGCAGCUGUGGACCGGAUGCUCCAGUCCCUGCCCCAUCGCCUGUGUCCCAGGCGGCAGCAGGGCUCCCCAGGCGCCGAGGGCAGGCAGGGCUCCCCAGGCGCCGAGGGCAGGAGCCAUCCCAGGGACACGGGUGCCACAGCAGAGGCACCCGAGGCUCCGGGUGCCCUGGCAGCCCCUCCCCGGGAAGGUGUUCCUUCUGCUCCUCCUUUGGCUCUUUGCUGCUGUCCCCGGGGCAGGGAGGCAGCGCCGAGUCGGGUCCCCACGAGGGGAUUCUCUCCUGCAGAGGAACCUCAGCAAAGCCUCAGUCAGAGACAGGAUCCGCCUGUCCGGGGGGGUCUGGGGGUAAAAAUGGCACCACGUCCUGCCUCAGGAAUCACAGGAUCAUUAGAGCUGUAAAAGAUGGAGACAAACUGUUUACAAGGCAGGGAGGGACAGACCCAGGGAAUGGAGGGACAGACCCAGGGAAUGGAGGGACAGGACACAGGGAAUGGAGGGACAGACCCAGGGAAUGGCUCCCAGUGCCAGAGGGCAGGGCUGGGUGGGAUUUUGGGCAGGAAUUGUUUCUGGCAGGGUGGACAGCCCUGGCACAGGGUGCCCAGAGCAGCCCCUGGAUCCCUGGCAGUGCCCAAGGCCAGGCUGGACACUGGGGACAGUGGGAGGUGUCCCUGCCGUGGCAGGGUGGCACUGGAUGA